Molecule: unclassified non-coding RNA, 235 nt
Filed under: uncultured Basidiomycota
Lineage: Eukaryota; Fungi; Basidiomycota
Description: sequence contains ITS1
Source: RNAcentral
CUGAAGUUUUUGAGAGGUGCUGCUGGCUUUCCGAAGCAUGUGCACCCUCUCAUACUUUACUCAACCACCUGUGCACCUUUGUAGUCUCUCGGACGCUUCUCAGUCUUCGGGCUGGAUGGGACAUUUGCCGCUUCUUAGGGAUCGGCUCUUGUUCAAAUGUCUGAGAGCUACGUCUACACAUACACUGUAAAAAAAACAAGAAUGUAUCACGGUCUCUGGACCUUAAAAAUAAAUA